AAAAAACAAACUUUUUUGUUCGUUUCAAUUUUUUCAAUCUUUGCCAAAUUAGGGAAGGUACUCGGAUAUAAGGCAAAGGCUCUGUGUUAAAGACUGUACUUUGACCUAUAAUGGUUUACUUUGAGAAAUUGUGACUUGGAUGGAGAGUUGUCUCAUUGGCAUUCAUACCACAUCUUCUUAUAUUUAUAAGGGGAGAUAACUCAAAUAAACUAAUUUUUAUAAUAAAUGUGUUGUGAAUUUACCUAUUUUAUUGUGUAGCUAGAAAACAGGUCUGGUGACCCAAUUAUUUCUUUUUCUUAUCGAAAAGCAGAUUAUAAGAGCAAUCUUCUCAUAUUUUAUUUUUAAAUUAAAUGGCGUAGUUUUCUUUUUAUCACACAAAAUUGGGUUUUCCAUGCAUAAUCUACACAAAAUCUGACAAUUUUGCACAGCCCCCUAGCCUGAUUAAAACCCAGGGACCC
This 458-nucleotide long non-coding RNA is filed under the name Mytilus galloprovincialis (Mediterranean mussel). Lineage: Eukaryota; Metazoa; Mollusca; Bivalvia; Mytilida; Mytilidae. The record is from RNAcentral.